UCAUUAUGCUGGCAGAAGGAAGUCAGUGGCUUCGGUGGAUUUAGUGAUGCUGAGUGGGCAAGAAAGAGGAGUUCCUGGGCCAGGAGAUGAUGCCUCGGGAAAGCACUUUUGAGAAUCGUGAUUCUGGCCGCCGCUUGCUGUUGUUCUCUUUGCAAUGGGCCACUUUUGCUCGGGUUUGGUAUCUCUUAGAUGGGAAAAUGCAGCCCCCUGGCAAACUGGCUGCUUUGGCAUCAAUCAGACUUCAAGGAUUGCAUAAACCUGUAUACCAUCAACUGAGUGACUGUGGGGAUCAUGUUGUCAUAAUGAACACAAGGCACAUUGCAUUUUCUGGAAAUAAAUGGGAACAAAAAGUGUACUCCUCACAUACUGGCUAUCCAGGUGGAUUUAGACAAGUAACAGCUGCUCAACUUCACCAGAAGGAUCCAGUAGCAAUUGUGAAACUAGCUAUUUAUGGCAUGCUGCCAAAAAACCUUCACAGAAGAACUCUGAUGCAGAGGUUGCAUCUUUUCCCAGAUGAGGAUAUACCAGAAGAUAUUCGUGAGAAUUUAGUCGAGGAGCUUCCUCAGCCACGGAAAGUGCCCCGACGCCUCGAUGAGUACACAAGGGAAGAAAUCGAGGCUUUCCCAAGAGUGUGGUCUCCAACAGCUGAUAUGGUGAAGCAUAUUUGGCUGGUUUCCCAGAUCAGAGCCUGUGUUCCUCAGAGCUAAAUAAUAAUUCUGAAUUGUAAUACAGUUUGUUUACUCAGCCACUAGACUGUUGGUCUUCAUAGCUGAGCUAUCUGGUAUCUUACCUGAAGAUUAUCGACUAUAGGAAAAUGAAAAUUGCAGAAAAUAUCCAUGCGGUGAUUAAAACUUCUUCCUGAUGAGUCUCUCCUAACCUACAGGCAGAGUGAAACUUCCACUGCAUUUUGACAAGAGACUUGUCAUGGGUGCUGAAAGCUUGUGGAGAAAGGUCAGGGGGUGAUAUCCCUUCAAUAGGAAAUUGCAAUAAAGUACAUUAUUUUAAGGAAUUGUUAUGUAGUCUGAUUUGAAUGUUAUAAGUGAUGAUAAAGAAUAAAAUUGCUUACUUGUUUAA
Acinonyx jubatus (cheetah) is the source of this 1074-nucleotide RNA transcript. It is a transcript of the gene named mitochondrial ribosomal protein L13, with no coding region annotated. The transcript is spliced from 8 exons. The record is from RefSeq and is a predicted model, not a curated record. Lineage: Eukaryota; Metazoa; Chordata; Mammalia; Carnivora; Felidae.